UGGGGAAUCUUGCGCAAUGGGCGAAAGCCUGACGCAGCGACGCCGCGUGGGGGAGGAAGCUCUUCGGAGUGUAAACCCCUGUCAGGAGGGAAGAACGGGCGCUUGAGGAAAUGCAGGCGUUUUGACGGUACCUCCAAAGGAAGCACCGGCUAACUCUGUGCCAGCAGCCGCGGUAAUACAGAGGGUGCGAGCGUUGUUCGGAAUUACUGGGCGUAAAGCGCGCGCAGGCGGUCCUUUAAGUCUACCCGUGAAAUGCCGGAGCUCAACUCCGUGCACGCCGGGGGAUACUGGAGGACUGGAGACGAGUAGAGGCAAGCGGAAUUCCGGGUGUAGCGGUGGAAUGCGUAGAGAUCCGGAAGAACACCGGAGGCGAAGGCGGCUUGCUGGGCUUGGUCUGACGCUGAGGCGCGAAAGCGUGGGGAGCGAACAGG
This 431-nucleotide ribosomal RNA is filed under the name uncultured bacterium. RNAcentral's name for it is "bacterial SSU rRNA". It matches the Rfam family "Bacterial small subunit ribosomal RNA", at positions 355 to 776 of the family's 1533-position model. The record is from RNAcentral.